This 77-nucleotide transfer RNA is filed under the name Candidatus Peribacteria bacterium. RNAcentral's name for it is "tRNA-Pro". It matches the Rfam family "tRNA". Rfam says of the family: Transfer RNA (tRNA) molecules are approximately 80 nucleotides in length. Their secondary structure includes four short double-helical elements and three loops (D, anti-codon, and T loops). The record is from RNAcentral. Lineage: Bacteria; Candidatus Peregrinibacteriota; Candidatus Peribacteria.
CGGGGACUGGCGCAAUUGGCUAGCGCACACGCUUUGGGAGCGUGGGGCUGUGGGUUCAAGUCCCACGUCCCCGACCA